UCGAGCGGAAACGAUGAUAGCUUGCUAUCAGGCGUCGAGCGGCGGACGGGUGAGUAAUACUUAGGAAUCUACCUAGUAGUGGGGGAUAGCUCGGGGAAACUCGAAUUAAUACCGCAUACGACCUACGGGAGAAAGGGGGCAGUUUACUGCUCUCGCUAUUAGAUGAGCCUAAGUCGGAUUAGCUAGAUGGUGGGGUAAAGGCCUACCAUGGCGACGAUCUGUAGCUGGUCUGAGAGGAUGAUCAGCCACACCGGGACUGAGACACGGCCCGGACUCCUACGGGAGGCAGCAGUGGGGAAUAUUGGACAAUGGGGGCAACCCUGAUCCAGCCAUGCCGCGUGUGUGAAGAAGGCCUUUUGGUUGUAAAGCACUUUAAGCAGUGAAGAAGACUCCGUGGUUAAUACCCACGGACGAUGACAUUAGCUGCAGAAUAAGCACCGGCUAACUCUGUGCCAGCAGCCGCGGUAAUACAGAGGGUGCAAGCGUUAAUCGGAAUUACUGGGCGUAAAGCGAGCGUAGGUGGCUUGAUAAGUCAGAUGUGAAAUCCCCGGGCUUAACCUGGGAACUGCAUCUGAUACUGUUAGGCUAGAAUAGGUGAGAGGAAGGUAGAAUUCCAGGUGUAGCGGUGAAAUGCGUAGAGAUCUGGAGGAAUACCGAUGGCGAAGGCAGCCUUCUGGCAUCAUAUUGACACUGAGGUUCGAAAGCGUGGGUGGCAAACAGGAUUAGAUACCCUGGUAGUCCACGCCGUAAACGAUGUCUACUAGUCGUUGGGUCCCUUGAGGACUUAGUGACGCAGCUAACGCAAUAAGUAGACCGCCUGGGGAGUACGGCCGCAAGGUUAAAACUCAAAUGAAUUGACGGGGGCCCGCACAAGCGGUGGAGCAUGUGGUUUAAUUCGAUGCAACGCGAGAACCUUACCUGGUCUUGACAUAUCUAGAAUCCUGCAGAGAUGCGGGAGUGCCUUCGGGAAUUAGAAUACA
Molecule: ribosomal RNA, 980 nt
Filed under: uncultured Psychrobacter sp.
Lineage: Bacteria; Pseudomonadati; Pseudomonadota; Gammaproteobacteria; Moraxellales; Moraxellaceae
Description: bacterial SSU rRNA
Rfam family: Bacterial small subunit ribosomal RNA
Source: RNAcentral